AUUUUACACACACUGCUCAUUUGAUUGAAAUUUUCAAAAAGAGGAGGAAAUUGCAGAAGAAAACUAGAUGAGAUUUUGCAACAAGUUUAUUCAAAGUCAUCUGAUGUAAUGCUUGUCCGCACAGCAGUUCUUCCGGGUCUUUCAGUACUUUUGAGGGAUGGGUCUAAAGAUUUUUUCUGGAUGUGUUUUGAUGUGGAUGUAGAGUCUGACUUCAGUGCAGUAGAUGUUGGCCUGCUGAUUGUCUUGUGUGAAGAUAUCUAAAGGACCUCAAUGUGGAUGCAAUGUGGGCCAUUAUACUGGAAGGAAAAGUGGUUAUGGAUGAUGUCCCUACUUUGGCACACGCAGUAGGUCUGCUUUUUUGCUUUGCUUUACGCACUGAAUUCGGACUACCCAAAGACUACAAGCAACGUAUUUACUCAACGUGUGUUGCUUUCGCUGGGAGGGAAGCUUAAUGUGUUGUUUUUUUUCUGCGAGUGCCUAUAUGCUGCUGUGUUUUAUGUUUAAAGGUUCUGUUAAAGGAUUUUCAAACAUUUUAAAAAACAUUGUUUUGUUUGUUUGCUUUUGCCAUGUUGCUGUUUGCAGUGUUACAUUCAGAAUUGCAGCAUUUUGGUGUUU
Long non-coding RNA from Danio aesculapii, 615 nucleotides. RefSeq lists it as uncharacterized. NCBI's taxonomy places the organism in Eukaryota, Metazoa, Chordata, Actinopteri, Cypriniformes, Danionidae. The transcript is spliced from 3 exons. The record is from RefSeq and is a predicted model, not a curated record.